This 22-nucleotide non-coding RNA is filed under the name Arabidopsis thaliana (thale cress). The record is from RNAcentral. Lineage: Eukaryota; Viridiplantae; Streptophyta; Magnoliopsida; Brassicales; Brassicaceae.
AACCAAGAGAUGCUCUAAACCC